This 492-nucleotide ribosomal RNA is filed under the name uncultured bacterium. Its description in RNAcentral is "partial 16S ribosomal RNA". It matches the Rfam family "Bacterial small subunit ribosomal RNA", at positions 29 to 507 of the family's 1533-position model. The record is from RNAcentral.
AGUGAACGCUGGCGGUAGGCCUAACACAUGCCAGUCGAACGGCAGCACAGUAAGAGCUUGCUCUUACGGGUGGCGAGUGGCGGACGGGUGAGGAAUACAUCGGAAUCUACUUUUUCGUGGGGGAUAACGUAGGGAAACUUACGCUAAUACCGCAUACGACCUACGGGUGAAAGCAGGGGAUCUUCGGACCUUGCGCGAUUGGAUGAGCCGAUGUCGGAUUAGCUAGUUGGCGGGGUAAAGGCCCACCAAGGCGACGAUCCGUAGCUGGUCUGAGAGGAUGAUCAGCCAAACUGGAACUGAGACACGGUCCAGACUCCUACGGGAGGCAGCAGUGGGGAAUAUUGGACAAUGGGCGCAAGCCUGAUCCAGCCAUACCGCGUGGGUGAAGAAGGCCUUCGGGUUGUAAAGCCCUUUUGUUGGGAAAGAAAAGCAGCAGGUUAAUACCCCGCUGUUCUGACGGUACCCAAAGAAUAAGCACCGGCUAACUUCGUG